This 542-nucleotide ribosomal RNA is filed under the name uncultured bacterium. RNAcentral describes it as "bacterial SSU rRNA". It matches the Rfam family "Bacterial small subunit ribosomal RNA", at positions 772 to 1319 of the family's 1533-position model. The record is from RNAcentral.
ACGUAAUAGAUACCCAGGUAGUCCACGCCCUAAACGAUGUCUACUAGUUGUCGGGUUUUAAUUAACUUGGUAACGCAGCUAAACGCGUGAAAGUAGACCGCCUGGGGAGUACGGUCGCAAGAUUAAAACUCAAAGGAAUUGACGGGGACCCGCACAAGCGGUGGAUGAUGUGGAUUAAUUCGAUGCAACGCGAAAAACCUUACCUGCCCUUGACAUGGCAGGAAUCCUGAAGAGAUUUGGGAGUGCUCGAAAGGGAACCUGCACACAGGUGCUGCAUGGCUGUCGUCAGCUCGUGUCGUGAGAUGUUGGGUUAAGUCCCGCAACGAGCGCAACCCUUGUCAUUAGUUGCUACGAAAGAGCACUCUAAUGAGACUGCCGGUGACAAACCGGAGGAAGGUGGGGAUGACGUCAAGUCCUCAUGGCCCUUAUGGGUAGGGCUUCACACGUCAUACAAUGGUACAUACAGAGGGCCGCCAACCCGCGAGGGGAGCUAAUCCCAGAAAGUGUAUCGUAGUCCGGAUUGUAGUCUGCAACUCGACUAC